Podarcis lilfordi (Lilford's wall lizard) is the source of this 67-nucleotide non-coding RNA. Lineage: Eukaryota; Metazoa; Chordata; Lepidosauria; Squamata; Lacertidae. The record is from the annotation of a GenBank genome assembly.
AGGGUCGUAGCUCAGUGGUAGAGCACUGGCUUAAAGAAAGUACCAGGUUCAAUCCCUGGAGUCUCCG